GUUGUUAAGUGGUUGCUAUGGUGUUCUGCUGUGUUAGAGUUGUGCUAGGUUGUUAAGUGGUUGCUGUUGUGUUCUGCUGGGUUAGAGUUGUGCUAGGUGGUUAAGUGGUUGCUGUUGUGUGCUGCUGGGUUAGGGUUGUGCUAGGUUGUUAAGUGGUUGCUAUGGUGUUCUGCUGGGUUAGGGUUGUGCUAGGUUGUUAAGUGGUUGCUAUGGUGUUCUGCUGGGUUAGGGUUGUGCUUGGUGGUUAAGUGGUUGCUAUGGUGUUCUGCUGGGUUAGGGUUGUGCUAGGUGGUUAAGUGGUUGCUAUGGUGUUCCAGGCGGUUUGGCAUUUGAGGUGGUUUGCAUUGAAAUUUGGUUUUCACAAAAUACAUCGUAUCAAACAUGCAGUUGCAAUGUUUGAUGCAGUUGCAAUGAUUGAUACGGUGUAUUUUGUGUUUUGUGGUCAAUGCGGAAGUAGUGCGCGUAGUGGCAAAAAUGAUGGCGGGACUUGUGAUUUAUGGAGGUAUUUUCAGCACCAUGGAGAGACACACCAUCUAAAUGUUUGUCUCUGUCGCCCCCCAGCGG
Molecule: long non-coding RNA, 564 nt
Organism: Gasterosteus aculeatus aculeatus (three-spined stickleback)
Lineage: Eukaryota; Metazoa; Chordata; Actinopteri; Perciformes; Gasterosteidae
Source: Ensembl